CCGUGGCCAUAUUGGCUCAAG
This 21-nucleotide small RNA is filed under the name Karenia brevis. RNAcentral's name for it is "trans-spliced leader sequence SL". The record is from RNAcentral. Lineage: Eukaryota; Dinophyceae; Gymnodiniales; Kareniaceae.